This is an RNA transcript of Musa acuminata AAA Group (dessert banana), 1069 nucleotides long. It is a transcript of the gene named cytochrome b5-like, with no coding region annotated. NCBI's taxonomy places the organism in Eukaryota, Viridiplantae, Streptophyta, Magnoliopsida, Zingiberales, Musaceae. The record is from RefSeq and is a predicted model, not a curated record. The transcript has 4 exons.
UUCUACAGCCUCCCAAUAAAUAACUGAGGCUCUCGGCAUUCUUGUUAGCGAUCAAACCCCCAAUAUUUCUCACCAAUCAUGAAGCGAGUAUAAAUUCGGGUAACGAGAACGGUCGAUAAACAUUGUUCUGUAAUGCCCGUGCCCGAUAACCGAUCUCGUAGAAACCGUGAGGAAACAAGGAGACGUCAUAAGUUUGACAUCGAACACCAUGUAAACCUGCGAUUCUGAGGCGGAGAAAUUGGAUUCCCGAGCGACGUAGCAGCGAUCCCGUUCUGGGGACUUGGAAGUAGAUUGGGAUCGGAUUUUUAGCCAGUAAAUGGCCGACUCCAAGAUCUAUCAUUGCGAGGAGGUCUCCAACCACAACGUCAUUAAAAAUCGCUGGUUCGUCAUUUCCGGAAGCUUAAGGAUCAGCUGCAUCCCAAAAAGGGAGAGUACAAUGAGAUCUGCCAAAACUUGCAAAUCUAUGAUCAACAAAAUGACUCCCCAAGUUUAACUGGUUUCAUAUAGGUGAAAGCUGUAACAAAAUGGAGCUAGCUGGCUGGCUUCUGAAGCUGCAGAAAUUACAGAGUGAUGAUCAAGACUCCUUGUACUUUAUGAUUGUAAGGAUGUUGGGCUUAAAUGCAUCCACUGGUCAUAUCAGAUUGCAUAUUGAGCUGUUAUUGGCUUGCAGAUACUUUCUGACCAGGAUCCAGCGAAUCCAGCUGAACAUUUUGGGUUUUGUUAACUUAUAUGUCUAGCAAAUUUUGGCCUUAACAACCUCCAAGAUGUGAUAGUCUAUUCUAACUCCAUACCUUUUAAAGAAGUUAUAUGUAGAUAUCCAGUGCACUAAGAAUGAUUGACACAUGUACUAACAUUAAAGAUGUUUGCCGCAUUUUCUAAAACUGUUUGCUGAUACCCAAUGCAUAGUGGUCCUUGCAGGUUUAUGAUGUUAAUCCGAUUUAUGGACAAGCAUCCCGGUGGCAAUGAGGUUUUGCUGGCGGCAACUGGAAAAGAUGCCACCGAUGAUUUAGAAGACAUAGGUCAUAGUACUUUGGCAGGGGAUAUGAUGAUCAAGCACUACAUCGGUGAG